Molecule: ribosomal RNA, 407 nt
Filed under: bacterium
Lineage: Bacteria
Also listed under: 1 other name
Description: partial 16S ribosomal RNA
Rfam family: Bacterial small subunit ribosomal RNA
Source: RNAcentral
UCGAGAAUCUUCCGCAAUGGACGAAAGUCUGACGGAGCGACGCCGCGUGGUGGAUGAAGUCCUUCGGGGCGUAAACAUCUUUUAUGAGGGAUGAAGUUUUGACAGUACCUCAUGAAUAAGGGGCUCCUAACUCUGUGCCAGCAGGAGCGGUAAUACAGAGGCCCCAAGCAUUAUCCGGAAUUACUGGGCGUAAAGGGUGCGUAGGUGGCGUCAUUAGUCCUCUUUUAAAUCCUCCGAGCUCAACUCGGAGGCUCGAGGGGAAACGGUGGCGCUAGAGGAUGUAAGAGGUAUGUGGAACUCAUGGUGUAGGGGUGAAAUCCGUUGAUAUCAUGGGGAACACCGAAUGCGAAGGCAGCAUACUGGGACAUUCCUGACACUGAGGCACGAAAGCGUGGGUAGCGAAAAGG